RNAcentral lists this ribosomal RNA (433 nucleotides) under soil bacterium 2V-08. RNAcentral's name for it is "bacterial SSU rRNA". It matches the Rfam family "Bacterial small subunit ribosomal RNA", at positions 24 to 458 of the family's 1533-position model. The record is from RNAcentral.
UCAGGACGAACGCUGGCGGCGUGCUUAACACAUGCAAGUCGAGCGGAAAGGCUCCUUCGGGGGUACUCGAGCGGCGAACGGGUGAGUAACACGUGAGUAAUCUGCCCUGUGCUCUGGGAUAGCCACCGGAAACGGUGAUUAAUACCGGAUAUAACCACUAUAGGCAUCUAUUGGUGGUGGAAAGUUUUUUCGGCACAGGAUGUGCUCGCGGCCUAUCAGCUUGUUGGUGAGGUAAUGGCUCACCAAGGCUUUGACGGGUAGCCGGCCUGAGAGGGUGACCGGUCACACUGGGACUGAGACACGGCCCAGACUCCUACGGGAGGCAGCAGUGGGGAAUAUUGGACAAUGGGCGGAAGCCUGAUCCAGCAACGCCGCGUGAGGGAUGACGGCCUUCGGGUUGUAAACCUCUUUCAGUACCGACGAAGCGCAAGUG